UGCUGGGAUUACAGGCAUGAGCCACUGUGCCCAGCCCAUUUGUCUAUUUUUAUAUGAGUACCACACGUUUAAUUAUUUUGCUAAAUAAUAGAUUUUAAUAGCUAAAUUUUUUAGAAAUGAUAAAAUUAGAAUCAGUCUUCCUUCACAACUUACCUGGUUGCACUUUUUAACCACAUCUGGCCCAGGUGUGGCAUUGAGAAGAGCUAUAAUAAGGUAACGAUUUAGCAGCUUCCCUAGUCCUAGUUCUUGCAAGGUGUCAUCUGUAAGGAGUCCAUUCCAAAGAAGAAUAUUGCGGAAGAGCUAAAAUAAAAUAUCAAGUAAAUAUGUACCUUUUCUCCAAAGAGAAACUGUAAUAGUCUCUAACAAACAUAAAGAGUUGGUCAAACUAAAAUUCUCACUACAAUUAGCCCUGUUGGAACUGUCAAUUUUAGAAUACAAUAUCUCUCAAUAAAUACUUGAUUCUUUCCAAA
This 470-nucleotide small RNA is filed under the name Pongo abelii (Sumatran orangutan). Its description in RNAcentral is "sense intronic". Lineage: Eukaryota; Metazoa; Chordata; Mammalia; Primates; Hominidae. The record is from RNAcentral.